RNAcentral lists this long non-coding RNA (1037 nucleotides) under Anser cygnoides (Swan goose). RNAcentral describes it as "lncRNA (ENSACDG00005008192.1)". The record is from RNAcentral. Lineage: Eukaryota; Metazoa; Chordata; Aves; Anseriformes; Anatidae.
AUGCGAAAUCUCUCUUCAAUUAGCAAGGAACACUGCCUUCGUCAUUUGGAGUAUAUAUAUAUUUUCCAUCCAUGUGUGGAUCCCAAGUCUUUAAAUGAAGAUCUCUUCCAAGAACUUCUCCAGUCUGCCUUUUCAUUCCUUCAUGUGAACUUUAAACCCCUACAACAACCUUUGGCAGAGAGCACUUCUUACUCUCUGGGUGAUUACGAGUCACUUUCUUCGGUUGUUUUGAACUAGAAUCCUACUAGCUUGUCUUGGAGAUAGUGAGAGAAUUGAUUCACUUCUUGCAUGCCAUAAUGAUUUGUGAACCUGUCUCCUGAAAUCUUUGUAACCUCCAUUGGAGCACCCUACUUUAAACAACGAGACAAUACAGAAGCUACUUGGUACCUUUGAUCUUCCAUGUGGUCCCCUUACAAAGUUUCCCCACUUUUACUAAAUCUUCUAUUGUGUUUUUUUGUUGUUGUUGGUUGUGGUGGUGGUGAUUUUUGUUUGUUUGUUUGUUUUUUAAAAUAAGGGGAUCAGAACUGCACAUGUUAUUCAAGAGACAGCUGGCAAAAUGAGGUUCUCUGUUUUUCUCUUUUUUUCUAACAAGUCACAAACUUAAUUUCAAAAAUGUUUCAGUCAUUAAUCUGACAUUUUCUUGGAACUAUGUAGUAUCUGUAAACACAUUGUCUCCAUACUACAUUGAACUUUGUUUUGUAAAUUCUAUUAUCCUAUAUUAGACAGUAUGUUUUGAUUGUCAUGACAGUUGAGCACCAUUUUAGCAGUACAUCUAUCUUUACUAAUCCCUCUCAGAUGGAGAGCAAAAGCAUAUAUGUACUACAAGAGACAUACACAGUGUCUGCAAUGCUAUGCAAGAUCAACAUUAGAUCUCUAUUCUGUUGUCAGAUAACUUAGAUUAGGCAUUUUCUUUCUUAUCCUGACUAACACUAUAUCAGCCUUGACAAUGCUUGGAGCUAUUCAAAUUAUACGCUGCUUUGCCUGGUACCCUUCCCCUCAAAAAUAAAUAAAUAAAUAAAUAAAUAAAUAAAUCUGAU